AUUGAACGCUGGCGGCAUGCCUUACACAUGCAAGUCGAACGGCAGCACGGACUUCGGUCUGGUGGCGAGUGGCGAACGGGUGAGUAAUGUAUCGGAACGUACCGAGUAAUGGGGGAUAACGCACCGAAAGGUGUGCUAAUACCGCAUACGCCUCCGGGGAAAGCAGGGAUCGCAAGACCUUGCGUUAUUCGAGCGGCCGACGUCUGAUUAGCUAGUUGGUGGGGUAAUGGCUCACCAAGGCGACGAUCAGUAGCGGGUCUGAGAGGAUGAUCCGCCACACUGGGACUGAGACACGGCCCAGACUCCUACGGGAGGCAG
Molecule: ribosomal RNA, 318 nt
Filed under: uncultured Pseudomonadota bacterium
Lineage: Bacteria; Pseudomonadati; Pseudomonadota
Description: bacterial SSU rRNA
Rfam family: Bacterial small subunit ribosomal RNA
Source: RNAcentral